Molecule: long non-coding RNA, 747 nt
Organism: Vigna radiata var. radiata (mung bean)
Lineage: Eukaryota; Viridiplantae; Streptophyta; Magnoliopsida; Fabales; Fabaceae
Exons: 3
Source: RefSeq, a predicted model, not a curated record
ACAACCCCCCAUAACAGAUUCAGAGCCAUGCGGGUACUUUCAUCGUCGGUGAACGCAAAGAUAGGAGGAUUUGGGCGGUUGCGUGAUAGAAGUGAUGCCAUGUGUCCAUGCUUCGUGUACACGAAGAUGGCAUCCACACCAAGAAUCAAGUGGCAAGAAGAAUAUGAAGUACCCAUUUCAACGGCACAAUUACAUAUUUGCUCAGUGAUGCAUUCUGGCAAUUCUGCUCCAAGUUGGUUAUGGUUGAGAAGAUUCUGCUUGUUCUCCUCCCGAUUCCAUGAUUCCAUUCUACUGCUAGUCAUAUCCAAGACUGCCAAAGCUUUACGCCCAUAUGACCCAAUAGCUGAUUCACCGGACAACAUCAAAGCAUCAGCAUACUGUCGAACUGCUUCAGAAACAUCUGCUACCUAUUAAAUAAAAGCAAAUAUUUGUGAGGUUGUUGAAGAAACAUCAAUCCAGCCAGUUCUUCCAGAUCUUCGGAAUGGGUUUUGAGGAGUAAAUUUGGGACUUUGGAAGGAUCAAUAUAUUGUACAAUCUAUCCAUAUAUUGAAAAAUGUACGCACUGAUUCUGGAGGUAAUAUAUCAUUUCACCAAUUUACAAAAAAAAUAAAAAAAAAAUUAUUAAACAUGAGUUUUGACAACUGUUGACAUUGUUAGCCUAGGAAUGCUUUCAGAAAAUCAACGCCAUACAUGUAAAGAAAUAAUUGCAGAGUGCUAAAUUUAUUCUCCGUGAUCUUCGUUAAAUGA